Molecule: small nucleolar RNA, 77 nt
Organism: Anguilla anguilla (European eel)
Lineage: Eukaryota; Metazoa; Chordata; Actinopteri; Anguilliformes; Anguillidae
Product: small nucleolar RNA SNORD71
Exons: 1
Source: RefSeq, a predicted model, not a curated record
GAGCUGUUGGGGGAUGAGAGCUUUGAGUGAUCCAUCGACUGAAACAAUGAUGAGACUUCAAGCACUGACAACGGCUU